This 801-nucleotide long non-coding RNA is filed under the name Rattus norvegicus (Norway rat). RNAcentral describes it as "long non-coding RNA NONRATT021675". The record is from RNAcentral. Lineage: Eukaryota; Metazoa; Chordata; Mammalia; Rodentia; Muridae.
GAGGACCCGCGCUGUGCCCCGCUACUGCUACUUUUGCUGCUACCGCUGCUGCUCACACCGCCCGCCGGAGAUGCCGCGGUCAUCACCGGGGCUUGCGACAAGGACUCUCAGUGUGGAGGAGGAAUGUGCUGCGCUGUCAGUAUCUGGGUUAAGAGCAUAAGGAUCUGCACACCUAUGGGCCAAGUGGGAGACAGCUGCCACCCCCUGACUCGGAAAGUUAGUGUCUGCGCUGGGACUCCGGGUGUACCGCUCUGCUGGGCAAGGCCUGUAUGACAAAAGGCUUGGCUAGUUCACUUGAAACAGAGAUCAGAGGACAGUACAGCGAGGAUGCACCUAUUUCUUUCUUCUCUCCCCUUCCACUCCAGUGGUCAUCUUUAUACCAUUGCUCUCCUGCCAUUAAAAAUAACCUUACAUCAACACAAUUGAAUGUGCUUUGUAAAAUCAGAGUUCUUAAAAAGACUGUAUGCUCAACCAGCUGAUGGAGCAGAAGUCAGUCAGCUUUGCUGAUUUUGUUUGUUUUUUUUUUCAGACAAUCACCAAUAACAAACACACUUACUCUUCAUGUCUUAAACUCCGUUUUGUUGGUGUUUGUUUUUGAGACAGCUUCUCCUGUUGUCCAGGCUGCCCUUGAACUCCUGAUUCUACUUUCUCCACCGCACUUCCCCAUUCUCCGCCCCUCACUGAGUGCUGGGUUUGCACCACAGUGCCCAGUUAAAGUUGUGUAUUUUGCUUCUGUACCUGUGAAAUAUGAUUUUCAUAACUUUUGGAGAUCCAUGGCAUUAAAUUUUCUAGUGUGAUUGC